GAUGAACGCUGGCGGCGUGCCUAAUACAUGCAAGUCGAGCGAACAGAUGAGGAGCUUGCUCCUCUGACGUUAGCGGCGGACGGGUGAGUAACACGUGGAUAACCUACCUAUAAGACUGGGAUAACUUCGGGAAACCGGAGCUAAUACCGGAUAAUAUAUUGAACCGCAUGGUUCAAUAGUGAAAGACGGUUUUGCUGUCACUUAUAGAUGGAUCCGCGCCGCAUUAGCUAGUUGGUAAGGUAACGGCUUACCAAGGCAACGAUGCGUAGCCGACCUGAGAGGGUGAUCCGCCACACUGGAACUGAGACACGGUCCAGACUCCUACGGGAGGCAGCAGUAGGGAAUCCUCCGCAAUGGGCGAAAGCCUGACGGAGCAACGGCGCGUGAGUGAUGAAGGUCUUCGGAUCGUAAAACUCUGUUAUUAGGGAAGAACAAAUGUGUAAGUAACUAUGCACGUCUUGAAGGUACCUAAUCAGAAAGCCAAGGCUAACUACGUG
RNAcentral lists this ribosomal RNA (497 nucleotides) under uncultured bacterium. RNAcentral's name for it is "partial 16S ribosomal RNA". It matches the Rfam family "Bacterial small subunit ribosomal RNA", at positions 28 to 507 of the family's 1533-position model. The record is from RNAcentral.